AGUUGGAGAAAGUGGUAUUUACCUAAGUCAUUAUAACCAGUCACAGACUUUUUGUUCAAACUCCACUCCCACUGCUUCACCAGAUUAGCCCUUA
This 94-nucleotide small RNA is filed under the name Otolemur garnettii (small-eared galago). RNAcentral's name for it is "Y RNA (ENSOGAG00000023724.2)". Lineage: Eukaryota; Metazoa; Chordata; Mammalia; Primates; Galagidae. The record is from RNAcentral.